GCGGCCGUGGCGGAAUGGCAGACGCGCUCCGGCUUAGAACCGGGUGAGCUUCGCUCGUGUGGGUUCGAAUCCCACCGGCCGCA
Molecule: transfer RNA, 83 nt
Filed under: Streptomyces poriferorum
Lineage: Bacteria; Bacillati; Actinomycetota; Actinomycetes; Kitasatosporales; Streptomycetaceae
Description: tRNA-Leu
Rfam family: tRNA
About the family: Transfer RNA (tRNA) molecules are approximately 80 nucleotides in length.
Source: RNAcentral